GGUUAAGCGACUAAGCGUACACGGUGGAUGCCCUGGCAGUCAGAGGCGAUGAAGGACGUGCUAAUCUGCGAUAAGCGUCGGUAAGGUGAUAUGAACCGUUAUAACCGGCGAUUUCCGAAUGGGGAAACCCAGUGUGUUUCGACACACUAUCAUUAACUGAAUCCAUAGGUUAAUGAGGCGAACCGGGGGAACUGAAACAUCUAAGUACCCCGAGGAAAAGAAAUCAACCGAGAUUCCCCCAGUAGCGGCGAGCGAACGGGGAGGAGCCCAGAGCCUGAAUCAGUGUGUGUGUUAGUGGAAGCGUCUGGAAAGGCGCGCGAUACAGGGUGACAGCCCCGUACACAAAAAUGCACAUGCUGUGAGCUCGAUGAGUAGGGCGGGACACGUGGUAUCCUGUCUGAAUAUGGGGGGACCAUCCUCCAAGGCUAAAUACUCCUGACUGACCGAUAGUGAACCAGUACCGUGAGGGAAAGGCGAAAAGAACCCCGGCGAGGGGAGUGAAAAAGAACCUGAAACCGUGUACGUACAAGCAGUGGGAGCACGCUUAGGCGUGUGACUGCGUACCUUUUGUAUAAUGGGUCAGCGACUUAUAUUCUGUAGCAAGGUUAACCGAAUAGGGGAGCCGAAGGGAAACCGAGUCUUAACUGGGCGUUAAGUUGCAGGGUAUAGACCCGAAACCCGGUGAUCUAGCCAUGGGCAGGUUGAAGGUUGGGUAACACUAACUGGAGGACCGAACCGACUAAUGUUGAAAAAUUAGCGGAUGACUUGUGGCUGGGGGUGAAAGGCCAAUCAAACCGGGAGAUAGCUGGUUCUCCCCGAAAGCUAUUUAGGUAGCGCCUCGUGAAUUCAUCUCCGGGGGUAGAGCACUGUUUCGGCAAGGGGGUCAUCCCGACUUACCAACCCGAUGCAAACUGCGAAUACCGGAGAAUGUUAUCACGGGAGACACACGGCGGGUGCUAACGUCCGUCGUGAAGAGGGAAACAACCCAGACCGCCAGCUAAGGUCCCAAAGUCAUGGUUAAGUGGGAAACGAUGUGGGAAGGCCCAGACAGCCAGGAUGUUGGCUUAGAAGCAGCCAUCAUUUAAAGAAAGCGUAAUAGCUCACUGGUCGAGUCGGCCUGCGCGGAAGAUGUAACGGGGCUAAACCAUGCACCGAAGCUGCGGCAGCGACGCUUAUGCGUUGUUGGGUAGGGGAGCGUUCUGUAAGCCUGCGAAGGUGUGCUGUGAGGCAUGCUGGAGGUAUCAGAAGUGCGAAUGCUGACAUAAGUAACGAUAAAGCGGGUGAAAAGCCCGCUCGCCGGAAGACCAAGGGUUCCUGUCCAACGUUAAUCGGGGCAGGGUGAGUCGACCCCUAAGGCGAGGCCGAAAGGCGUAGUCGAUGGGAAACAGGUUAAUAUUCCUGUACUUGGUGUUACUGCGAAGGGGGGACGGAGAAGGCUAUGUUGGCCGGGCGACGGUUGUCCCGGUUUAAGCGUGUAGGCUGGUUUUCCAGGCAAAUCCGGAAAAUCAAGGCUGAGGCGUGAUGACGAGGCACUACGGUGCUGAAGCAACAAAUGCCCUGCUUCCAGGAAAAGCCUCUAAGCAUCAGGUAACAUCAAAUCGUACCCCAAACCGACACAGGUGGUCAGGUAGAGAAUACCAAGGCGCUUGAGAGAACUCGGGUGAAGGAACUAGGCAAAAUGGUGCCGUAACUUCGGGAGAAGGCACGCUGAUAUGUAGGUGAAGUCCCUCGCGGAUGGAGCUGAAAUCAGUCGAAGAUACCAGCUGGCUGCAACUGUUUAUUAAAAACACAGCACUGUGCAAACACGAAAGUGGACGUAUACGGUGUGACGCCUGCCCGGUGCCGGAAGGUUAAUUGAUGGGGUUAGCGGUAACGCGAAGCUCUUGAUCGAAGCCCCGGUAAACGGCGGCCGUAACUAUAACGGUCCUAAGGUAGCGAAAUUCCUUGUCGGGUAAGUUCCGACCUGCACGAAUGGCGUAAUGAUGGCCAGGCUGUCUCCACCCGAGACUCAGUGAAAUUGAACUCGCUGUGAAGAUGCAGUGUACCCGCGGCAAGACGGAAAGACCCCGUGAACCUUUACUAUAGCUUGACACUGAACAUUGAGCCUUGAUGUGUAGGAUAGGUGGGAGGCUUAGAAGUGUGGACGCCAGUCUGCAUGGAGCCGACCUUGAAAUACCACCCUUUAAUGUUUGAUGUUCUAACGUUGACCCGUAAUCCGGGUUGCGGACAGUGUCUGGUGGGUAGUUUGACUGGGGCGGUCUCCUCCUAAAGAGUAACGGAGGAGCACGAAGGUUGGCUAAUCCUGGUCGGACAUCAGGAGGUUAGUGCAAUGGCAUAAGCCAGCUUGACUGCGAGCGUGACGGCGCGAGCAGGUGCGAAAGCAGGUCAUAGUGAUCCGGUGGUUCUGAAUGGAAGGGCCAUCGCUCAACGGAUAAAAGGUACUCCGGGGAUAACAGGCUGAUACCGCCCAAGAGUUCAUAUCGACGGCGGUGUUUGGCACCUCGAUGUCGGCUCAUCACAUCCUGGGGCUGAAGUAGGUCCCAAGGGUAUGGCUGUUCGCCAUUUAAAGUGGUACGCGAGCUGGGUUUAGAACGUCGUGAGACAGUUCGGUCCCUAUCUGCCGUGGGCGCUGGAGAACUGAGGGGGGCUGCUCCUAGUACGAGAGGACCGGAGUGGACGCAUCACUGGUGUUCGGGUUGUCAUGCCAAUGGCACUGCCCGGUAGCUAAAUGCGGAAGAGAUAAGUGCUGAAAGCAUCUAAGCACGAAACUUGCCCCGAGAUGAGUUCUCCCUGACUCCUUGAGAGUCCUGAAGGAACGUUGAAGACGACGACGUUGAUAGGCCGGGUGUGUAAGCGCAGCGAUGCGUUGAGCUAACCGGUACUAAUGAACCGUGAGGCUUAACCUU
Molecule: ribosomal RNA, 2906 nt
Filed under: Escherichia coli
Lineage: Bacteria; Pseudomonadati; Pseudomonadota; Gammaproteobacteria; Enterobacterales; Enterobacteriaceae
Description: 23S ribosomal RNA
Rfam family: Bacterial large subunit ribosomal RNA
Source: RNAcentral